CGCCUCGUAGCUCAGUUGGCUAGAGCGUUGGCUGACCUAGAGCCUUCCCCUUGCUGGCGUGGGUUCGAGUCCCCCCGAGGCCA
This 83-nucleotide transfer RNA is filed under the name Schistocephalus solidus. It matches the Rfam family "tRNA". From Rfam's summary of the family: Transfer RNA (tRNA) molecules are approximately 80 nucleotides in length. Their secondary structure includes four short double-helical elements and three loops (D, anti-codon, and T loops). Lineage: Eukaryota; Metazoa; Platyhelminthes; Cestoda; Diphyllobothriidea; Diphyllobothriidae. The record is from Rfam by way of RNAcentral.